RNAcentral lists this ribosomal RNA (351 nucleotides) under uncultured Glomeromycotina. RNAcentral's name for it is "eukaryotic LSU rRNA". The record is from RNAcentral. Lineage: Eukaryota; Fungi; Glomeromycota.
CAGUCGUACUGAUGGGAAAUCAACUUCUCGAGUGCUUGUCGUGGAUGACGUUGAGCUUCACGGCCUUCGUUGCUUACGUUAUGGUGCUUUUGAGGUGUACUUUCCGUAUGGUAGGUCAACAUCGAUUUUGAUCGUCAUAAAAUGAUCGGAGGAAUGUGGCUCUGAUCUCGUAUCGGAGUGUUAUAGCCUUUGGUAGAUGUGACGAUUGGGAUCGAGGAUUGCAACGAAUACCCUUUUGGGCUAUCCGUCUGACCUCUGAAAGUCGCUCGGGUGUUGAAAGCGUGCUUAUGACAUUCUAGUUGGCGGUCAAAAGGUUAGAACGUGAUUACAUUCGUUAAGGAUGUUGACGUA